GUUUUAUUAGCUUAUGAAUUUUUGUCUCUUUCAUGCUGGCUUAUAAUAAUGAUAACCACAGGCUUUUGGACUGGGUGAUAUGAGGAGAAGAAAUUGCUCAAUUCUGGUGCAGUAAGUCCAGCUAAGUGUUUUGAAGUGGUGGAAGUCUCCAAAUGAGAUGAGUGCUAAGAAGUGAGGUGCUCAUGUUCAGCUGGGGGUGCCAAUUGUAGGUGUGCAGAAAUAAUGGCGUGACUCAAGACUGCUUUGACAGGCAAAUCCACCUGCAGUCUGGGCAUACCUAUUUAUUGCCUGGAAAAAAAAAGUUGAACCAUCUGUGGUGUAUGGGUUUGUGUUCAGCUGGGUCCCUCCAUGCAGCAAGAACCAGGAUGGAAACAUCCAGGCCAGAUCCACUAACCACAGUGUUGCUUCAGUGGGAAACUUCUUGAGUAAUAGCUGCGUUUCAGGACCACCAAUUAAGCAGUUCUUGAUACCUGGAUAAUUAAUUCCCCGUACCUCAUCCAGCAACUUACAGAGAUAGCUGCAAUGGGUCUUGACUUUUAUCAGCUUGGGGUGGAACAAGAAACAUUCUUCCACUUUCCCUUCAUGCACUGUCAUGACUUAAAUUAUUAUAUACCUUUUUAAACAACUACUGAGACUGCUACCUGUGUGGAAGAAAUUAAUCCCAUCCUUGACCUCGCUUAGGUUUGGAGCAGAGAUUUGGAAGUAUGAGAUGCAGGGCUGCCUCUUCACCCUCAAUUUACUUUUACAGGCUUCUGAAAUAAUUAUUGCAAGCACGUUUAUAUGUAGCAUUCCUUUCUAUUAAAUAAGUGUCUGUCCUCAUGGCUAUUUCUAUUCCAUUACAGUAUCUGUAAGAAUAAUUUUUGGUAUUCUUCUGGUAUAUUUUGGCCCUGAUUAUUGUUAAUGAAGUGAAUAGCUGCCUUCACCAGAAGCUUUCCAUGUGCUGAGAAAAGUCCAAAUCAAGAUUCCUAGCAAUAAAAACC
Molecule: long non-coding RNA, 980 nt
Filed under: Phasianus colchicus (ring-necked pheasant)
Lineage: Eukaryota; Metazoa; Chordata; Aves; Galliformes; Phasianidae
Description: lncRNA (ENSPCLG00000005755.1)
Source: RNAcentral